UGUGUAGGCGGGUAUUUAAGUCAGUGGUGAAAUCUCCGAGCUCAACUUGGAAACUGCCAUUGAUACUAUUUAUCUUGAAUCUUGUUGAGGUUGGCGGAAUAUGUCAUGUAGCGGUGAAAUGCAUAGAUAUGACAUAGAACACCGAUUGCGAAGGCAGCUAACUAAGCAAGUAUUGACGCUGAGGCACGAAAGCGUGGGGAUCAAACAGGAUUAGAUACCCUGGUAGUCCACGCCCUAAACGAUGAUAACUCGACAUACGCGAUACACAGUGUGUGUCUGAGCGAAAGCAUUAAGUUAUCCACCUGGGAAGUACGACCGCAAGGUUGAA
This 328-nucleotide ribosomal RNA is filed under the name uncultured bacterium. Its description in RNAcentral is "bacterial SSU rRNA". It matches the Rfam family "Bacterial small subunit ribosomal RNA", at positions 568 to 898 of the family's 1533-position model. The record is from RNAcentral.